GGGGCGGAGAAGGUGGGCGGGGUUGCGCUGCGUUCUCUCGUGACGCGCGGUUUAGUUGGGGAAACGCACUGUGGUUCCCCUUUCGGCUGGAAGAUCCGGAGCCUGAGGCGAGCCAGCCGCAGGAGUCCUGACGUUGCCUAGCCAAAGCUCGUCGCGUCUGCCUGAGCGGCCGCUCCUCUACCAAGGGCACUAAGAUUCCCCAGGAAACCCCCUGAGGGGCUAGCAGCCUCCUACUAGUAGGUUUCGGUCCCAAGAUGCUGAAGGUCAGGGCCUAGGAAGACUCAGAAACAAGAUUGGAUUUUACUGUAAUUGCAGCUGAAAGCUGUUGAAGAGCAAGGCGUGACUGUUCGAGCAAGGAGUUGGGAACAGUGAUGUUUGUGCAGAUAACUGAAAACAACCCAAAUAACCAGCAACUGGAGGCAUGGCCAGAUACGCUGGAAUAUCCAAACCACGGAAAACUGUGUAACCAGUGUAAUAGAAUGAAGUGGAGCUUCAACAUGAGAAAAAAAUUGCAUAUCCAGGAUCUCUAGUCCUUUGGCUUCCUUGAGAUUCAGUCAGUUGGUGGCACCAGGAAGCGAUCAAGAGGCAAGAAGAGAGAGAAGUCGAGUGUCUCCUCCUCUUUAUCUUCCUGCUUGAAGACAGAGGCUGCAUGCCGCUCCCCACCUCCAGCCCAGCCUCCCCCACCCUCUCUACUCCCCCCUCCUCCUCCACCAUUUCUGCUUUUCCUGAAUUCCAUAAGAUUAUUAUUUCCUCCCUUUGUCCCUUUGUCUCUAGGAAUACUAUUCUCUGGGUGCCUCAGCAUCCCUUGUUUACUCCCAUGACCUGGUCUACCCAUCUGUACUGGGGAUUGAAUCCAGGACCUUGGGCAUGCAAGCAUGCGCUCUACCGCCCCCCUGAGAUGAGCUUUUGAAGUUGCAAUAGAUUUUUGAAGACGUCCAGUCUCCUGGUAACUGUUAUCUCCCUUUUGGAUGUCACUCAUAGGCAAAGUGUUCUGCCAUAGGCCAUCUAAAGUCAUGCAUGACAAGGGUGAAAAUAUUGGGGUAAGCAGUUGUGUGUCAUUUACAACCCUGAAAUUCACAAUGCAAGAGACCCUGGAUUGUAUUGUGAAAAUGACUCCUUUGACUGACACCUGUGAAUAGGAAAGAACACAUUCUUCCCAGGGACACAAGACAGUAAGGUGUAGUUUGGGAUGUCAGCUUAUAUGCAGAUGACAGCCAAACGCUAGGCCAGGAAACCAGUGGGGACGGAGUGCUGCUGCCUGUAGGGUGUUGGUACUCACUUGGUGGAAGAAUUUCCACUUGAUCUUCCUAGUCCUGGCUUUCUUAGGAGAGCAGUUUGCAGGUACAUGGAUUACGAGAAGAAAGAAAAAAUCCACAAAGGCAUCUUCGUCCCGUCUCAAAUGAAAGGCAACUAUACUGACUGGCAAUCUACACAAUGGUUGCUAGAAAGUGGUUGAGAUUUUAGCCAAGUGAUGUUUAUACUACAGCUGACUCAUCACACAGGUGGAAACAUUGUGCUUUUCUAUUUUCUUGCAAAAUAUUGAGACACCUAGUGGGCACAACAUGAAAACAUCUUUAUGGAAAAUGGUGAGUUCAGUCAAUACCCAGGUAAAUGCUAUUCAAUGCUUACUUCUACAAAAAGUAGUCUUAUUAGAGAAAUACCCAGAGCCAGGAAUCAGAUCAACUUUUGACUCAUAUUGGAUAAUCAAUAUACAUUAUUACCACAUGCUUUUUAGCACUGAGUAUUUUUCAGAGUCCUUUAAACAUAAGUUUCUUUCCAUAACACUCGGUACAGUAGUCUCCUCCUACUGUGGGCUCCCGAAGGUGGGGGCUACUCCAGUUUCCUCCCAGCACUAGCUCAGUGUCUAAUACGUAAAAAUCAGAUGCUCAGUAAAAGUCUGAUGAACUGAACUCAUCUGAACAACCACCCCAAGAGACGGGAUAGUUACGUGCACAAUGGGGCAGCCAGUCAGUGAGCCAGUGGCAUGCAGGUUGGUGAAAUAAUUUACCAGAGAAUAGAAAAGGAGUUUAUUAGGGGUACACUGCCAUAGACAACAGUGAGCCACACAGACCAGAGGUGCCUUUGUGAGCACCGAGGGCCUGUUGUUGGGGUGUUUUAUAAGGUCAGGUUACAAGGUGCCUGAUCAGCUUGUGCAGGAGUCUCUGAUUGGUUGUAGGUGAGGUAAGAGGGUUAGGGUCUGUGAAGGGUGUUGGGGUUUGAGUCUGAUAAGGUAAGGCAUUACCUGAGGCUAUUAGUUUGUUGGGGAAACACGCCCAAUAAAGAAUGUACUUUAUCUGAGACCCCAGAAAUGGGGGUCAUUGGAUUUUGAAGGAUGUCAGUUAGCCCAACAAUAGUUUCUGAUUUUGUGUGUGUGUGUGUGUGUGGCAGGUGAGGAAACAAAAGAUCAAAGAGUAGAGACAGUUGCCUUCCAACUAAAUAAACAGAAGAGCCAGCUGUGAGCCACAUCCUGUACUCCUAAACUGACCGCGUGGGAAAGCCCCCUUGCUUACUUAACUGCCCAUUGGCUUUCCCGUCUGACUUCAGUUAGCAGCGUCUUUCUUUAUUCCACUGCUGAGGCCACUUUUAGAAGGUCAUAGUGUUUAAAUUAGGGGUGGUCAACCCAUGACCCAAGUGAGGCCCCAGCGGGAUACCUUCUUUAGAGGAUUUUCCAUGUUAGAUUAACUGGUGUGAAACUCCUUUUCAUCUCAUGAUAGGGCUUAUACAGUUCCAAUUUUACAGAGCACAUAUUUAAUCAAUUACCUGGAGUAUAGGUGGAGUAAUUUGUUUAUGUCACCAAGACUUAGCCAAAGGACCUAUAAAACCUAUGGUGUCCCUGGCCAGGCUUUGUCUUUGGAAAGCAACUUAUUAAAAAUCCUCAUCAUUAUAGCUUGUAAAAGGGUAAAAAGUCCUGGGAGGGUACCUGGGCCAGUGUUUCUGAAAGCAGGGUUCAAAGACUUUUAGGAGUUCCACUGAUGAGUUCUUGCAGCCUAGAAGUUACCUAUGAAUAUUUAAAAUUUUAGAUAUCCUUCUAUGAUCAUCUGAAGUUGACAUAAAUGCCUUUUAGAUCACCUGGCUAGCCACCUCAUAGGUAAAUCUGGACAUAAGGAAUUACUGUGCCCCACAAAGUGUUUAUCUUGGUACCCAGUAAUCAACUAAAAUAAUAUGUAACUUUAAAAAAAAAUUGAGAUAUAAUUCACCUACCCUAAAAUCCAUCUUUUUAAAGCGUACGAUUCAGUGGUUUUUUAGUAUAUUCACAAGAUUGAUGAUUCACAGCCAUCACCACUAGAUAAUUACACAAUGUUUUCAUUACCCCUAAAAAAAUCCCCAUGCCCAGUGGCAGUCAUUACCUAUUCUUCCUGUAGGGGAGCAAAGUUUGCCACUCUAAAAUCUGUCUCUUUGGUAUCUUAAUUGUUUUAAGCUGGUUAUUUUCUGAGAAACAGCAGAUAGGGAAGGGCUCUGAAGAUCUAGUUGCCCUUUUGUGAGAAACAUUUACAUUUGUAAGGGAGAUCUCCCUCUUGUAUCCAGAAGAAAAGGAUGACCAAAUCUCUAGAAACUACAGUGGAGAAGGCAGCAGUUUAAAUCUGCAUCACAGUCGCCUUUGUUUGCUGUGCUUUUCCUGGUAACCUCCCAUAACCACUCUCCCCACUCUCAGUGUCUUUUGUCUUUAGCUGUGGAUGGUAUUUAAGUUGGGGCCAUUUUAGUGGGUUACUCAGUUCUCCUGGGUCUCUCCUAUGUGUACAUGUUAUUAAACUUUGAUUUUCUCCUGUUAAUCUGUCUUAUGUCAAUUUAAUUCUUAGACCAGCCAGAAGAACCCAGAAGAGUAGAGGAAAAUUUCUUCCUCCCUCAUACCCUCUCCUCCCCAACCCUUGGCAACCACUAAUCUACUUUCUCUCUCUUUGGAUUUGCCUGUUCUGGACAUUUUGUAUAAAUGAAAUCAUACGAUAUGUGGCUCUUGAGUCUGGUUUCUUUCAUUUAGCGUAUUUCCAAGGCUCGUCCAUAUUGUAGCACAUAACAGCCCUUCAUUUCUUUUUUACAGCUGGAUAUUUUCCCGCUGUAUCCCAGGUUUAUCCGUU
Long non-coding RNA from Camelus dromedarius (Arabian camel), 4073 nucleotides. RefSeq lists it as uncharacterized. Lineage: Eukaryota; Metazoa; Chordata; Mammalia; Artiodactyla; Camelidae. The record is from RefSeq and is a predicted model, not a curated record. The transcript is spliced from 6 exons.